AUUGAACGCUGGCGGCAUGCUUUACACAUGCAAGUCGAACGGUAACAGGCCGCAAGGUGCUGACGAGUGGCGAACGGGUGAGUAAUGCAUCGGAACGUGCCCAGUCGUGGGGGAUAACGCAGCGAAAGCUGCGCUAAUACCGCAUACGAUCUACGGAUGAAAGCGGGGGACCGUAAGGCCUCGCGCGAUUGGAGCGGCCGAUGUCAGAUUAGGUAGUUGGUGGGGUAAAGGCUCACCAAGCCAACGACCUGUAGCUGCUCUGAGAGGACGACCAGCCACACGGGGAGUGAGACACGGCCCAGACUCCUACGGGAGGCAGCAGUGGGGAAUUUUGGACAAUGGGCGCAAGCCUGAUCCAGCAAUGCCGCGUGCAGGAAGAAGGCCUUCGGGUUGUAAACUGCUUUUGUACGGAACGAAACGGUCCUGGUUAAUACCCGGGGCUAAUGACGGUACCGUAAGAAUAAGCACCGGCUAACUACGUGCCAGCAGCCGCCGUAA
RNAcentral lists this ribosomal RNA (498 nucleotides) under uncultured bacterium. Its description in RNAcentral is "partial 16S ribosomal RNA". It matches the Rfam family "Bacterial small subunit ribosomal RNA", at positions 29 to 523 of the family's 1533-position model. The record is from RNAcentral.